Molecule: ribosomal RNA, 497 nt
Filed under: uncultured bacterium
Lineage: Bacteria
Description: partial 16S ribosomal RNA
Rfam family: Bacterial small subunit ribosomal RNA
Source: RNAcentral
GAUGAACGCUGGCGGCGUGCCUAAUACAUGCAAGUCGAGCGAACGGACGAGAAGCUUUCUUCUCUGAUGUUAGCGGCGGACGGGUGAGUAACACGUGGAUAACCUACCUAUAUGACUUGGAUAACUUCGGGAAACCGGAGCUAAUAACGGAUAAUAUUUUGUACCGCAUGGUUCAAAAGUGAAACAGGGUUUUGCUGUCACUUAUAGCUGGAUCCGCGCUGCAUUAGCUAGUUGGUAAGGUAACGGCUUACCAAGGCAACGAUGCAUAGCCGACCUGAGAGGGUGAUCGGCCACACUGGAACUGAGACACGGUCCAGACUCCUACGGGAGGCAGCAGUAGGGAAUCUUCCGCAAUGGGCGAAAGCCUGACGCAGCAACGCCGCGUGAGUGAUGAAGGUCUUCGGAUCGUAAAACUCUGUUAUUAGGGAAGAACAUAUGUGUGAGUAAAUGUGCACAUCUUGACGGUACCUAAACAGAAAGCCACGGCUAACUACGUG